RNAcentral lists this unclassified non-coding RNA (249 nucleotides) under Mucoromycotina sp. RNAcentral's name for it is "partial contains small subunit ribosomal RNA and internal transcribed spacer 1". The stretch from base 1 to 47 matches the Rfam family "Eukaryotic small subunit ribosomal RNA", at positions 1785 to 1831 of the family's 1831-position model. The record is from RNAcentral. Lineage: Eukaryota; Fungi; Mucoromycota.
AAAGUCGUAACAAGGUUUCCGUAGGUGAACCUGCGGAAGGAUCAUUCAUAAUCAAGUGUUUUUAUGGCACUUUCAAAAAUCCAUAUCCACCUUGUGUGCAAUGUCAUCUCACUGGAGGUCGCUGCUGUAAAAAUCCGUUGGCCACAUUUGGGCUUUAUAUCUACUCAGAACUUUAGUGAUUUUGUCUGAGCCAUAUUAUGAAUAACUUAAUUCAAAAUACAACUUUCAACAACGCAUCUCUUGGCCCUC